The sequence is a non-coding RNA, 219 nucleotides long. It matches the Rfam family "HNH endonuclease-associated RNA and ORF (HEARO) RNA". The record is from Rfam.
GUCAGGAACCUCAGCUAUAAGGCAUGAGGCUUGUAAGAGAAAUCAAACAAGCCGUUCUGACCAGCCUAAGUCUUAACUGACUACGUUUUUUGAGUCACGAUACCGGAGAAUGCGAAGCUAGUUUUCCGCUCUAUCGUUGAAAGUUAAACAGUUCUAAGGUCACUGGAACAGUGCUUUCAGCCUAAAAAGCUCUCAAAACAUUGGCGAAGCUAACUUUAC